This 1078-nucleotide non-coding RNA is filed under the name Entamoeba invadens IP1. RNAcentral describes it as "Eukaryotic small subunit ribosomal RNA". It matches the Rfam family "Eukaryotic small subunit ribosomal RNA", at positions 448 to 1446 of the family's 1831-position model. The record is from Rfam by way of RNAcentral. Lineage: Eukaryota; Evosea; Mastigamoebida; Endamoebidae.
CUUUCGAUUGAAGAGGUAGUGACGACACAUAACUCUAGAGUUGAGUAAAAUCAAUUCUUGAAGGAAUGAGUAGGAGGUAAAUUCUCCUACGAAAUCAAUUGGAGGGCAAGUCUGGUGCCAGCAGCCGCGGUAAUUCCAGCUCCAAUAGUGUAUAUUAAAGUUGCUGUGAUUAAAACGCUCGUAGUUGAAUUAAAAUGUGGUUUUAUACAUUUUGAAGACUUUAUGUAAGUAAAGUUUCUAGAAAUGUUAAAUUAAAAUCAAAGAAGGAAACAAUUCAAGUAAUUGAGUUGUUAUUACUUUGAAUAAAAUAAGGUGUUUAAAGCAAAACAUUAUGUUAAUGAAUAUUCAAGCAUGGGACAAUGCUGAGGGGAUGUCAAUAAGACAUUUCGAGAGAAGGAUUAAAAGGAACAAUUGGGGUGAUUCAGAAAAUAACGGGAGAGGUGAAAAUCCAUGAUCGCUAUAAGAUGCACGAGAGCGAAAGCAUUUCACUCAACUGUGUCCAUUAAUCAAGAACGAAAGUUAGGGGAUCGAAGACGAUCAGAUACCGUCGUAGUCCUAACUAUAAACGAUGUCAACCAAGGAUUGGAUGAAAUUCAGAUGUACAAAGAUAGAGAAGCAUUGUUUCUAGAUCUGAGUAUAUCAAUAUUACCUUGUUCAGAACUUAAAGAGAAAUCUUGAGUUUAUGGACUUCAGGGGGAGUAUGGUCACAAGGCUGAAACUUAAAGGAAUUGACGGAAGGGCACACCAGGAGUGGAGCCUGCGGCUUAAUUUGACUCAACACGGGAAAACUUACCAAGACCGAACAGUAGAAGGAAUGACAGAUUAAGAGUUCUUUCAUGAUUUAUUGGGUAGUGGUGCAUGGCCGUUCUUAGUUGGUGGAGUGAUUUGUCAGGUUAAUUCCGGUAACGAACGAGACUGAAACCUAUUAAUUAGUUUUCUGCCUAUAAGACAGAAAUGUUCGCAAGAACAGGUGCGUAAGUACCACUUCUUUAAGGGACACAUUUCAAUUGGUCUAUUUUAUUGUAGUUAUCUAAUUUCGGGUAGACCCUCUUUAACGUGGGAAAAGAAAAAGGAGCAU